GCAAGUCGAGCGAGCUUGCCUAGAUGAUUUUAGUGCUUGCACUAAAUGAAACUAGAUACAAGCGAGCGGCGGACGGGUGAGUAACACGUGGGUAACCUGCCCAAGAGACUGGGAUAACACCUGGAAACAGAUGCUAAUACCGGAUAACAACACUAGACGCAUGUCUAGAGUUUGAAAGAUGGUUCUGCUAUCACUCUUGGAUGGACCUGCGGUGCAUUAGCUAGUUGGUAAGGUAACGGCUUACCAAGGCAAUGAUGCAUAGCCGAGUUGAGAGACUGAUCGGCCACAUUGGGACUGAGACACGGCCCAAACUCCUACGGGAGGCAGCAGUAGGGAAUCUUCCACAAUGGACGAAAGUCUGACGGAGCAACGCCGCGUGAGUGAUGAAGGGUUUCGGCUCGUAAAACUCUGUUGUUAAGGAAGAACACUUGAGGUAGUAACUGGCCUUGAGAUGACGGUACUUAACCAGAAAGCCACGGCUAACUACGUG
RNAcentral lists this ribosomal RNA (490 nucleotides) under uncultured Lactobacillus sp. RNAcentral's name for it is "bacterial SSU rRNA". It matches the Rfam family "Bacterial small subunit ribosomal RNA", at positions 57 to 507 of the family's 1533-position model. Lineage: Bacteria; Bacillati; Bacillota; Bacilli; Lactobacillales; Lactobacillaceae. The record is from RNAcentral.